This 253-nucleotide ribosomal RNA is filed under the name uncultured bacterium. RNAcentral's name for it is "partial 16S ribosomal RNA". It matches the Rfam family "Bacterial small subunit ribosomal RNA", at positions 524 to 776 of the family's 1533-position model. The record is from RNAcentral.
UACGGGGGGGGCAAGCGUUGUUCGGAAUUACUGGGCGUAAAGGGUUCGUAGGUGGCUCGCUAAGCCAGACGUGAAAUCCCUCAGCUUAACUGGGGAACUGCGUCUGAUACUGGAUGGCUUGGAUUCGGGAGAGGAAUGCGGAAUUCCAGGUGUAGCGGUGAAAUGCGUAGAUAUCUGGAGGAACACCGGUGGCGAAGGCGGCACUCUGGACCGAUAUUGACGCUGAGGAGCGAAAGCCAGGGGAGCAAACGGG